This 484-nucleotide ribosomal RNA is filed under the name uncultured bacterium. RNAcentral describes it as "partial 16S ribosomal RNA". It matches the Rfam family "Bacterial small subunit ribosomal RNA", at positions 30 to 507 of the family's 1533-position model. The record is from RNAcentral.
AUUGAACGCUGGCGGCAGGCCUAACACAUGCAAGUCGAGCGGAUGAAGGGAGCUUGCUCCUGGAUUCAGCGGCGGACGGGUGAGUAAUGCCUAGGAAUCUGCCGGGUAGUGGGGGAUAACGUCCGGAAACGGGCGCUAAUACCGAAUACGUCCUGAGGGAGAAAGUGGGGGAUAUUCGGACCUCCCGCAUUCUGAUGAGCCUAGUCCGGAUUAGCUAGUUGGUGGGGUAAAGGCCUACCAAGGCGACGAUCCGUAACUGGUCUGAGAGGAUAAUCAGUCACACUGGAACUGAGACACGGUCCAGACGCCUAAGGGAGGCAGCAGAGGGGAAUAUUGGACAAUGGUCGAAAGCCUGAUCCAGCCAUGCCGCGUGUGUGAAGAAGGUCUUCGGAUUGUAAAGCACUUUAAGUUGGGAGGAAGGGCAGUAAGUUAAUACCUUGCUGUUUUGACGUUACCAACAGAAUAAGCACCGGCUAACUUCGUG